GACGAACGCUGGCGGCGUGCCUAAUACAUGCAAGUUGAGCGCUGAAGGUUGGUACUUGUACCAACUGGAUGAGCAGCGAACGGGUGAGUAACGCGUGGGGAAUCUGCCUUUGAGCGGGGGACAACAUUUGGAAACGAAUGCUAAUACCGCAUAAAAACUUUAAACACAAGUUUUAAGUUUGAAAGAUGCAAUUACAUCACUCAAAGAUGAUCCCGCGUUGUAUUAGCUAGUUGGUGAGGUAAAGGCUCACCAAGGCGAUGAUACAUAGCCGACCUGAGAGGGUGAUCGGCCACAUUGGGACUGAGUCACGGCCCAAACUCCUACGGGAGGCAGCAGUAGGGAAUCUUCGGCAAUGGACGAAAGUCUGACCGAGCAACGCCGCGUGAGUGAAGAAGGUUUUCGGAUCGUAAAACUCUGUUGGUAGAGAAGAACGUUGGUGAGAGUGGAAAGCUCAUCAAGUGACGGUAACUACCCAGAAGGGGACGGCUAACUACGUG
RNAcentral lists this ribosomal RNA (497 nucleotides) under uncultured bacterium. RNAcentral describes it as "partial 16S ribosomal RNA". It matches the Rfam family "Bacterial small subunit ribosomal RNA", at positions 28 to 507 of the family's 1533-position model. The record is from RNAcentral.